RNAcentral lists this ribosomal RNA (466 nucleotides) under uncultured bacterium. RNAcentral describes it as "partial 16S ribosomal RNA". It matches the Rfam family "Bacterial small subunit ribosomal RNA", at positions 339 to 795 of the family's 1533-position model. The record is from RNAcentral.
CUACGGGGGGCUCCAGUGGGGAAUAUUGGACAAUGGGGGAAACCCUGAUCCAGCAAUGCCGCGUGUGUGAAGAAGGCCUGCGGGUUGUAAAGCACUUUCGGUUGGGAGGACUGCUUCUAGCACUAAUAUUGUUGGAAGUUGACGUUACCUUCAGAAGAAGCACCGGCUAACUCCGUGCCAGCAGCCGCGGUAAUACGGAGGGUGCAAGCGUGUAAUCGGAAUUACUGGGCGUAAAGCGCGCGUAGGCGGCUAGAUCAGUCGGGUGUGAAAGCCCCGGGCUUAACCUGGGAACUGCAUCCGAUACUGUCUAGCUUGAGUACAGGAGAGGAGAGUGGAAUUCCACAUGUAGCGGUGAAAUGCGUAGAUAUGUGGAGGAACACCAAUGGCGAAGGCAACUCUCUGGCCUGAUACUGACGCUGAGGUGCGAAAGCGUGGGGAGCAAACAGGAUUAGAUACCCCAGUAGUC